RNAcentral lists this ribosomal RNA (274 nucleotides) under uncultured bacterium. Its description in RNAcentral is "partial 16S ribosomal RNA". It matches the Rfam family "Bacterial small subunit ribosomal RNA", at positions 523 to 796 of the family's 1533-position model. The record is from RNAcentral.
AUACAGAGGGUGCAAGCGUUAUUCGGAAUUACUGGGCGUAAGGCGCGCGUAGGCGGAUGAUUAAGUCAGUUGUGAAAGCCCUGGGCUCAACCUAGGAACUGCAUCUGAUACUGGUCGUCUAGAGUUUAAGAGAGGGAAGUGGAAUUCCAGGUGUAGCAGUGAAAUGCGUAGAUAUCUGGAGGAACAUCAGUGGCGAAGGCGACUUCCUGGCUUAAAACUGACGCUGAGGUGCGAAAGCGUGGGUAGCGAACGGGAUUAGAAACCCUAGUAGUCC